AAGGUACUCUAAUCAAUCUCAUGGAAGCCGCUGAACGCAUGUACGCCAUGGAUCCUUGCGCUGGCAACGUUUCUUUUCAUUUAUCGGCGAGGUUCUCUUGCCAUCUUUGUGGCUUUCCAUGAUGCUAUUUUAGCAAGGUCUGUCCUUGAGGCUUCGGCCUUGGCCUUGUUUAUUUCCCAACAAAUUUUACAAAUUUUUUCAGAUCUUUCAUCACAUCGAAUCUUUAGACGUAUGCAUGCAAUAUUAAAUAUAGACGAAAAGAAAAACUAACUGCACAGUUUGGUCGAAAUUGAUGAGACGAAUUUUUUGAACCUAGUUAGUCCAUAAUUAGAUAACAUUUGUCAAAAUAAAACGAAAGUGCUACAGUGUCGAUUUUCUAUAACUUUUUGAAACUAAACAAGACCAUGUUUAGUUCGAAAAAAAUUCGGAUUUCGCUAUCGUAGCACUUUCGUUUGUAUUUGACAAAUAUUAUUUAAUCAUAAACUAACUAGAAUCAAAAGAUUCGUCUCGCGAUUUACAGAUAAACUGUGUAAUUAGUUUUUGUUUUCAUUUAUAUCUAAUGCUUCAUGUAUGUGCCGCAAAAUUUAAUGUAACGAGAAAUCUUAAAAAAAAUUUAGAUUUCGGGGUGAACUAAACAAGGCCUUCAACCUCGGGGGAGGGGACGCAUGAUGGUAUGGUUAACUUAACACCUGUCUUUGCUCGCCUCCCCAGGAGUCUGCUUAACGGAAAGCACUGUUUGACUAGUCCUUGCUAGGCCUCCUCCCUCCCUCCCUGUCUCUCUCUCACUCACAC
RNAcentral lists this long non-coding RNA (792 nucleotides) under Sorghum bicolor (sorghum). RNAcentral's name for it is "long non-coding RNA (SBIC_LNC003577)". The record is from RNAcentral. Lineage: Eukaryota; Viridiplantae; Streptophyta; Magnoliopsida; Poales; Poaceae.